RNAcentral lists this ribosomal RNA (253 nucleotides) under uncultured bacterium. Its description in RNAcentral is "partial 16S ribosomal RNA". It matches the Rfam family "Bacterial small subunit ribosomal RNA", at positions 524 to 776 of the family's 1533-position model. The record is from RNAcentral.
UACGUAGGUGGCAAGCGUUGUCCGGAUUUACUGGGCGUAAAGGGCGUGCAGGCGGUCUGUUAAGUGCAGGGUGAAAGCUCCCGGCUCAACUGGGAGAGGUCCUUGCAUACUGGCGGACUUGAGGGGGGUAGAGGAAAGUGGAAUUCCCGGUGUAGUGGUGAUAUGCGUAGAUAUCGGGAGGAACACCUGUGGCGAAAGCGGCGCACUGGACCACAACUGACGCUGAGGCGCGAAAGCUAGGGGAGCAAACAGG